ACCACGUGAUAAUCUCUAAUUAGCUAUCGUUGCCUGCAACUUCACCUUUUAGGGGAAAAGAAAAACCGCCUCAACUCACUAAUCGAUUACCCCUCAGGCCCUCACCACCUCUCAUCUCCUGCUAAAGAAUCUCAGAUCUAAUCUCCUCUCAUUGGAAUUAUCUUGUUCGGCAUGCCAAUGGUUAUUUAUCAUCUUCUACCUUGUUGGUCUUGUGAAAGGAGUUGUGAUUAUGUUGUUCUGUGCCUGAAUUCGGUGCUUCGACAAGUUUGCAGUUGCAAUUGAGGAAAUUUUGAGCUUGGAAUGGGACUUUUAGAUGGGCUCCAUGUCCCUUCUAACAAAGUUGGUCAGCCAGGUGCCCCUCCUUCUCUGGCUCAGGGACGGCUCCGUAUGCAGUAGAAGGUGUAAUGAGGCGUAGUAGGCGGUUAGGUUUUGGCCAGUGAUUUCUGAUCCAUGUAUACAUGGGUUUGAAAUUGGCCGAGUUCCGGUCGAGGGGUUUCAACCAAUAUAGCAUUCUAAUUGUCAGGUCUAAGAUAAUGGUUGAUCAAUAACUUGUAACAGUGGUGCCGUAUAACCUCAAGAAAAUUAUGGUUGUUCCCAAUGGGAAAGAAAUGAUAGACAUUGUUCUAUCUCGAACUCAAGGUUAAACCCCAUCAGUUGUCCACAAAGGUUAUGCAAUUUCUCGUCUUAGGAAGUUUUAAAUGAGGAAAGUCAAAUGCACACAACAGAACUUUCGUGAAAAGCUUUCUGCCAUUAUUGAUGAGUUCCCUAGGCAGUUUUAAAUGAGGAAAGUCAAAUCCACCCUUUUUAUGGAGAUCUCCUCCAUGUUCUUUACUAUAAGGAUCACUACAAGCUUGCCCUUAGACAAGUGAAUACUGCAGGAAACCUGAUUUCAAAAAUCUCCAGGGAUUAUGUUAGGUUGUUGAAGUAUGGUGACUUACUCUACAGAUGUUGUAUUUCUCAAUCUAUUUUCUCAACUUGCAGACCUUGUUCGUCCAUAUUAAUGGUUUUAUCAUCUUAUAUGAUGUAGGUGGUCUAGCACAAGCUGAAGUACUAGCAAGAGUCGGCCCAUUAAUUAAGAGCAUGUGAAGCUUUAUAUCAUAGUACAUAAAAGUAAAGGGGAAAAGCAGUAGCAUCAGCUGAAAUAUCGUUCAACAUGAUAAGGAGCGACAUGAGAAUGAAGGUCAUGACACUUGCGCUUAGAAGCUACUACCACUAAUAGAUCCUAGUUUUUGUAGGAUUUAGUUCUUCGUUUUAGUAGAUACAAUUUGUGUUUUUUAUUAUGUUUUGGACUAUUUAGUUAGUAACAUAUUAGUAACAUUAUCAUGUACUAUGGAUUUUAACGCACUACGUACUUCUAGAUUUUUGUAAGUAUUUUUAAUGUUACGUUGAUCGAAGACCAAUUAUUUAAAAUUCAAGUUUCAGUUCUUGUUA
Long non-coding RNA from Spinacia oleracea (spinach), 1431 nucleotides. RefSeq lists it as uncharacterized. The record is from RefSeq and is a predicted model, not a curated record. Lineage: Eukaryota; Viridiplantae; Streptophyta; Magnoliopsida; Caryophyllales; Amaranthaceae. The transcript is spliced from 8 exons.